This 420-nucleotide ribosomal RNA is filed under the name uncultured bacterium. RNAcentral describes it as "bacterial SSU rRNA". It matches the Rfam family "Bacterial small subunit ribosomal RNA", at positions 355 to 774 of the family's 1533-position model. The record is from RNAcentral.
UAAGGAAUAUUGCUCAAUGGGAGAAAUCCUGAAGCAGCAACGCCGCGUGGAGGAUGAAGGGUCUAUGACUUGUAAACUCCUGUAAAGAAGGAAAAAAUUCCCAUUAGAUGGGAGAUGAUGGUACUUCUGGAGUAAGCCCCGGCUAACUACGUGCCAGCAGCCGCGGUAAUAAGUAGGGGGCAAGCGUUGUCCGGAUUUACUGGGUGUAAAGGGUGCUCAGGCGGAUUUGUAAGUCAGAGGUGAAAUCUUACAGCUUAACUGUGAAACUGCCUUUGAUACUGCAAGCCUAGAGUAUGGAAGAGAGUGAUGGAAUAUCUGGUGUAGCAGUGAAAUGCGUAGAUAUCAGAUAGAACACCAAUGGCGAAGGCAGUCACUUGGUCCAUUACUGACGCUAAAGCACGAAAGCGUGGGUAGCAAACA